Molecule: non-coding RNA, 21 nt
Filed under: Caenorhabditis elegans
Lineage: Eukaryota; Metazoa; Nematoda; Chromadorea; Rhabditida; Rhabditidae
Source: RNAcentral
UGGUGUGUUUUUUUUUAAAUU